RNAcentral lists this ribosomal RNA (502 nucleotides) under Delphinium balcanicum. RNAcentral describes it as "eukaryotic LSU rRNA". The stretch from base 94 to 249 matches the Rfam family "5.8S ribosomal RNA". The record is from RNAcentral. Lineage: Eukaryota; Viridiplantae; Streptophyta; Magnoliopsida; Ranunculales; Ranunculaceae.
AAGGAUCAUUGUCAAAACCUGCACAGCAGAGCGACCCGCGAACGAGUGAAAGCACCGUCCGCGGUCGCAACCCUCAGAAUCCGAUACUCGAACGACUCUCGGCAACGGAUAUCUCGGCUCUUGCAUCGAUGAAGAACGUAGCGAAAUGCGAUACUUGGUGUGAAUUGCAGAAUCCCGUGAACCAUCGAGUCUUUGAACGCAAGUUGCGCCCGAGGCCACUAGGUCGAGGGCACGUCUGCCUGGGCGUCACACACAGCGUCGCACCCCGCCNACCACGUUGUUGGGGAGCGGAAAUUGGCCCCCCGGGCCCUUUNGGGCACGGUCGGCACAAAUGUUGGUCCCCGACGGCUAGCGUCGCGGUCAGCGGUGGUUGUACUACUCACCCCCGAAGACAUCAAGACNNGNUGCUCCGCUGCACGACGGGACAACGACCCUACGGAACCGCAUCACGCGGCAUCCACCCUGCGACCCCAGGUCAGGCGGGACUACCCGCUGAGUUUAA